RNAcentral lists this ribosomal RNA (487 nucleotides) under uncultured bacterium. Its description in RNAcentral is "bacterial SSU rRNA". It matches the Rfam family "Bacterial small subunit ribosomal RNA", at positions 501 to 987 of the family's 1533-position model. The record is from RNAcentral.
CUACGUGCCAGCAGCCGCGGUAAUACGUAGGGUGCAAGCGUUAAUCGGAAUUACUGGGCGUAAAGCGAGCGCAGACGGUUACUUAAGCAGGAUGUGAAAUCCCCGGGCUCAACCUGGGAACUGCGUUCUGAACUGGGUGACUAGAGUGUGUCAGAGGGAGGUAGAAUUCCACGUGUAGCAGUGAAAUGCGUAGAGAUGUGGAGGAAUACCGAUGGCGAAGGCAGCCUCCUGGGAUAACACUGACGUUCAUGCUCGAAAGCGUGGGUAGCAAACAGGAUUAGAUACCCUGGUAGUCCACGCCCUAAACGAUGUCAAUUAGCUGUUGGGCAACUUGAUUGUUCAGUAGCGUAGCUAACGCGUGAAAUUGACCGCCUGGGGAGUACGGUCGCAAGAUUAAAACUCAAAGGAAUUGACGGGGACCCGCACAAGCGGUGGAUGAUGUGGAUUAAUUCGAUGCAACGCGAAGAACCUUACCUGGUCUUGACAU